CGAUCUCCCACCAUCACAUUGAAAAGGCUUUCCUCCAGGCAACCCUGGCUGGGUUCCCACUUGAUAGGCCAGUUGCAAAGUAAAAAAAUGGCUAUAUAGUAAGAAUGUAUGUGAACAAAAAUUAGUUUUUUUGGUCUUAAUUCAAGGUUAUGCAUAAGGUUUGCAAAUGUGAUUAGGGUUAGGUUUUGAAGAAGAGAAAUAUGAGUUCCUCAGCUAAGGCGAGGCGACGCAACAAACAACUGGCGAACUCUGCUGGUUCACGCUGGGUUCAUAGCCUCCCCCUGAAAAAGUGUCCCAGCGGCAGAGAGGAAAAGUCCAGCAGGAGAGGGUCCUUCAGGCCAUCCGGUGCAUAGACAUCCUGUUCCAGCGGGAGAUGAUCCUUCAGGCCAUCCGGUGCAUAGACAUCCUGUUCCAGCGGGAGAGGAUCCUUCAGGCCAUCCGGUGCAUAGACAUCCUGUUCCAGCGGGAGAGGAUCCUUCAGGCCAUCCGGUGCAUAGACAUCCUGUUCCAGCGGGAGAGGAUCCUUCAGGCCAUCCGGUGCAUAGACAUCCUGUUCCAGUGGGAGAGGAUCCUUCAGGCCAUCCGGUGCAUAGACAUCCUAUUCCAGCGGGAGAGGAUCCUUCAGGCCAUCCGGUGCAUAGACAUCCUGUUCCAGCAGGAGAGGAUCCUUCAGGCCAUCCGGUGCAUAGACAUCCUGUUCCAGCAGGAGAGGAUCCUUCAGGCCAUCCGGUGCAUAGACAUCCUAUUCCAGUGGGAUCCGAGUGUAAGCAUACCAUUUUAGAGACUACAGCACAUCCAGCCUGUGGACGAACAGACAUGAGGCAUGACAUGCGGAACAUCAGGCUCACCCCGCGAGAAGCAGUGCAGGAUCAACACCAUCCUGAGCAAGGAGAUCUGCUGGAAGUGAUGUACUCUCUCACUCUGGGGGUACUGACAGGUGGUGGGACGAGAACGUUGAUCCAGUGCCUCCCACCACCCAAAAAACCCCAGAUUGGAAUAAAACCUCAAGUGCCAACUUCGGGAGCAUGCGGUCCUUGAACAACUCCUCUAGUCCAGCAUUAUGAGUCUGCCAGAGGUUGUCACGCUGGAUAGGGAUGGUGAUGGAGGAUUUGAUGGUCCAACAAAGAAGCAGGUGUCCUUCCAGUGAUGUGGAACUACCUGGUGCUAUUUCACCCCAGACCAACAAAUCAUCGAUGACGUCGACUACUCCAUCCAGGACCUUCAAUUAUCUGUGCCACGGAUCUCUGGAACACCUCAGACGCAGAUGAGACACCAAAGGGUAAACGCAAGAAUCAGAUUCAGAUGGUUUAAUAGUCACAUGUACAGGGUUGCAGGUGUGAUUGCAGGGUACAGUGAAAAUCUUCAGCUUGGAGCUCCAACA
RNAcentral lists this long non-coding RNA (1381 nucleotides) under Salmo salar (Atlantic salmon). RNAcentral's name for it is "lncRNA (ENSSSAG00000097364.1)". The record is from RNAcentral. Lineage: Eukaryota; Metazoa; Chordata; Actinopteri; Salmoniformes; Salmonidae.